Small nuclear RNA from Pantherophis guttatus, 114 nucleotides. RefSeq annotates it as U5 spliceosomal RNA. The record is from RefSeq and is a predicted model, not a curated record. Lineage: Eukaryota; Metazoa; Chordata; Lepidosauria; Squamata; Colubridae.
AUUCUCUGAUUUCUCUUCAGCUCAUAUAAACUUUUCACCUUUUACUAAAGAUUUCCGUGGAGAGAGACAUGUAUAUGUUUAUAACUAAUUUUUUUGAGGGUCUCCCUCCCUUCC